Molecule: ribosomal RNA, 204 nt
Filed under: Chromobacterium violaceum
Lineage: Bacteria; Pseudomonadati; Pseudomonadota; Betaproteobacteria; Neisseriales; Chromobacteriaceae
Description: partial 23S ribosomal RNA
Rfam family: Bacterial large subunit ribosomal RNA
Source: RNAcentral
CGUACUUUUGUGUAGUGCGAUGUGGGGACGGAGAAGGUUAGGUCAUCAGACUGUUGGAAUAGUCUGUUUAAGCCGGUAGGCGUGAGGGGUAGGCAAAUCCGCCCUUCUUUAACGCCGAGACGUGAUGACGAGGGUCUACGGACCUGAAGUGACUGAUACCACGCUUCCAGGAAAAGCCACUAAGCUUCAGCUACACAAGAACCG